This 492-nucleotide ribosomal RNA is filed under the name uncultured bacterium. RNAcentral describes it as "partial 16S ribosomal RNA". It matches the Rfam family "Bacterial small subunit ribosomal RNA", at positions 29 to 507 of the family's 1533-position model. The record is from RNAcentral.
AGUGAACGCUGGCGGUAGGCCUAACACAUGCAAGUCGAACGGCAGCACAGUAAGAGCUUGCUCUUACGGGUGGCGAGUGGCGGACGGGUGAGGAAUACAUCGGAAUCUACUUUUUCGUGGGGGAUAACGUAGGGAAACGUACGCUAAUACCGCAUACGACCUACGGGUGAAAGCAGGGGAUCUUCGGGCCUUGCGCGAUUGAAUGAGCCGAUGUCGGAUUAGCUAGUUGGCGGGGUAAAGGCCCACCAAGGCGACGAUCCGUAGCUGGUCUGAGAGGAUGAUCAGCCACACUGGAACUGAGACACGGCCCAGACUCCUACGGGAGGCAGCAGUGGGGAAUAUUGGACAAUGGGCGAAAGCCUGAUCCAGCCAUACCGCGUGGGUGAAGAAGGCCUUCGGGUUGUAAAGCCCUUUUGUUGGGAAAGAAAAGCAGCAGGUUAAUACCCCGCUGUUCUGACGGUACCCAAAGAAUAAGCACCGGCUAACUUCGUG